UGCAGCUCCCCCACCACAGUAGACUAUCCAGUUCAGCGGUGAUUGGCGAGAUCCCUUCUCCGGACUUGCCUUGGUCUUGGUAUGCAAUUUUUGUUAUAGACAUUAUGGGUAUGUCGGGGCCCUGUUCCGGCUAUGUUGCAACACUUAUGUUCUUUUAGAGGCUCAUAGACAGGUGUCGGCUCAUGUAUAGUUUGGUAUGCCUUGUCGGCUAGUUUUUAUUGUAUAGUCUUUCAUAGUAGCGUGGUAGCUCAUACCUUAUACGUAGUUUCUUGAUUGUCUGGUCAUCCCCUGCUAUGUAUGUUUAUGCCGUCAUAUUUUAUUGCUGGUUGUCCAUGAUCUAGGUCUACCAUUUAUAUUGAUCUCGUCAGCCUUAAAAGAUAAUAAUGAAGUUAGAUGAAAUGUACGUUGGUGCUCGGCAAGUGUGGUCGGGUGCUAGUCAUGGCCCUUCAGUUUGGGUCAUGACAAACUUGGUAUCAGAGCAAGUCUGUCCUAGGGGUUGUCUAUGAGCCGUGUCUAGUAGAGUCUUGAUUAUGGAUGUGUAGCGCGCCACAUUUAUAAUCAGGAGGCUACAUGACAUCUAGGGUUGUUACCUUCUUCCUGAAUCUAGAUCGUGCGUAGAGUUGAGUCGUAAGUGUUAGUCUCUAAUAUUCACCUUGUUUUUUUUCAGUGACGCCUUCGACUAGGAAGCAAACGAUUAGUAGACGGCUUGAUACAGCAGCGGGAGAGGGUACCAGUCAGGUGCCCCAAGUCAGAGCAGGACAAAGUGAGGCUCAAAGUGAGAUGCCCUCUCAUACCUU
Molecule: long non-coding RNA, 797 nt
Filed under: Nicotiana tabacum (common tobacco)
Lineage: Eukaryota; Viridiplantae; Streptophyta; Magnoliopsida; Solanales; Solanaceae
Description: long non-coding RNA (NTAB_LNC007872)
Source: RNAcentral